Molecule: non-coding RNA, 1532 nt
Organism: Vicugna pacos (alpaca)
Lineage: Eukaryota; Metazoa; Chordata; Mammalia; Artiodactyla; Camelidae
Source: RefSeq, a predicted model, not a curated record
ACUGACCAACACCUGCAGGUGAGGAAACUACCUGAGGCCAGGGCAAGAACCACCCGAAAGGAUCAGAGGGAACAAUCUCCAAAGCUCACACAAGAUGCUGUGAGAGCUAGGGUUUUUUCCCCCUCUCCCCUCCUCCCUCUCAUCUUCCACCUGGGCCUCUCACCAGCCUGGCGGUUACCAACCUUGGCUGGAAUGACUGGGCACACUCCCAGAGAGCCUGACGUGACUGUAAUUGGUCUAAGUGCAGCCUGAGCAUUAGGAGUUUUAAAAGCCCUCCCUGUGAGUCUAGUGGGUGAGCCACUGCAGGAGCUGAACCCAGGUAGAAGCCAGGAGACUGGGAAAAGCAGCCGGAGGAAAUCAGAGUCCUGCCAUGCAAGGUUAUAUAAUAAAAGGACAAAUGCUUAUUACAAAAUAAAAUUUUAAGCCCAGAAACAACUUUAUAAGGUAAAAAGUAAAAGCACCUUCUUCUCUUCACCACCUGAACCCACUUCCUUCAGGAUGCCACUGUCAACAGUUUGAAGACAACAAGUUCCUUAAGAAGCAUGUAAUGAGAAGAAAAUUUAAAACACAAUAAAAGGAGUGAGUUGUUUAAGGAAAAUGACAUAUUUGAAACAUGAUGAUGUAAUUUUAAGACAACCCAUCGGGAGAGAUUAGCAUAGACAAGAACUGGAACAAUUUUCCUUUACUGUUACUCAUGUCCCUGCGCAAACCUACUAGAGCCACCUGGUGGACAAUGUCGAGAAGUUUACAGCAAAUGUCCGAAUGUGCUGCAAUGUGCUUGGGUUGUUACAGCACAAAAGACCAGCUUACUCACCAGGGUGACAGAAAUGCCUGAUUGUCAGCUGGGUACACAGCUGCUCAAAAUGGAGACUACAUUUUCCGGCUUCCUUUGUACAUGUAGUCAUAUGACUAGACUCCAGUCAUUGAUGUGAAAAAUCAUCUGCCCUUCUCUUCUUGUCUUCUCCUCAAUCUUGCUGCCUAAAAUGCAGACCCUGUUGUCUUGGACCAUGAGAAGAAGGGCCGUGGUCCAAGAGGUGGGGAUCAGUGAGACGGAAUCCCAGAGGACUCUGGGGUAAAUCCUCCUUUCAGCUCUGGACCACUCACCCAACAGCAGUCUUGUUCUCAUGUAAGCCAGUGUUAUUUUUGACAUUUUGCCUCUCACAGUUAAACCUCAUGCUUACUGCUACAAAGUAUUACUGCAAACUUACCCUGGAAUGAACAUCUUCCAGACAGAAGGGCUGUCUUACACAUUGUACACACAGAGGCAAAGGUCUGGUUUUUCACAUUCCCAUCACUAAAACAUAGCAGAAAGACCUUUAUAGAAUGCGUAUCCCUUGGCACUUCAAAAUCUCACGCAGGGAGCCUGGGGGUCAGAAGCCAGGGCAAAAUAUUGGCAACAUACAAAGUGCAUUAAAAGACAAUGAUCUUGGGAAUAGGAAAGGAUGAAUUGGGAGUUCAAGAUCUGCAGAUACUAACUACUAUAAAUAAAAUAGAUAAACAACAAGUUUCUACUGUGUAGCACAGGCAACUAU